Molecule: transfer RNA, 73 nt
Filed under: Ailuropoda melanoleuca (giant panda)
Lineage: Eukaryota; Metazoa; Chordata; Mammalia; Carnivora; Ursidae
Rfam family: tRNA
About the family: Transfer RNA (tRNA) molecules are approximately 80 nucleotides in length. Their secondary structure includes four short double-helical elements and three loops (D, anti-codon, and T loops).
Source: Rfam by way of RNAcentral
ACUCGGCUGGCUCAGUCAGUAGAGCAUGCGACUGUUGAUCUCAGGAUUGUGGGUGUGAGCCCCAUGGUGGGUG